This is a ribosomal RNA of Pteropus vampyrus (large flying fox), 119 nucleotides long. The record is from Ensembl. Lineage: Eukaryota; Metazoa; Chordata; Mammalia; Chiroptera; Pteropodidae.
GUCUAUGGCCAUGCCGCCCUGAAAACGCCUGAUUCUAGGUGAUCUCGGAAGCUAAACAGGGUCAGGCCUGGUUAGUACUUGGAUGGGAGAACACCUAGGAAGACCAGGGGCUCUAGGUG